RNAcentral lists this ribosomal RNA (254 nucleotides) under uncultured bacterium. Its description in RNAcentral is "partial 16S ribosomal RNA". It matches the Rfam family "Bacterial small subunit ribosomal RNA", at positions 524 to 776 of the family's 1533-position model. The record is from RNAcentral.
UACGGAGAGUGCAAGCGUUGUUCGGAAUUAUUGGGCGUAAAGCGCGUGUAGGCGGCUCGACAAGUCUGGCGUGAAAGCUCAGGGCUCAACCCUGAAAGUGCGCUGGAAACUGUCAAGCUUGAGUACUGGAGGGGGAAGUGGAAUUCUCGAGUGUAGAGGUGAAAUUCGUAGAUAUUCGGAAGAACAUCAGUGGCGAAGGCGACUUCCUGGACAGAUACUGACGCUGAGACGCGAAAGCGUGGGGAGCAAACAGG